AACGAACGCUGGCGGCAUGCCUAACACAUGCAAGUCGAACGAAGGCUUCGGCCUUAGUGGCGCACGGGUGCGUAACGCGUGGGAAUCUGCCCUUAGGUUCGGAAUAACAGCUGGAAACGGCUGCUAAUACCGGAUGAUAUCGCGAGAUCAAAGAUUUAUCGCCUGAGGAUGAGCCCGCGUUGGAUUAGGUAGUUGGUGGGGUAAAGGCCUACCAAGCCGACGAUCCAUAGCUGGUCUGAGAGGAUGAUCAGCCACACUGGGACUGAGACACGGCCCAGACUCCUACGGGAGGCAGCAGUGGGGAAUAUUGGACAAUGGGCGCAAGCCUGAUCCAGCAAUGCCGCGUGAGUGAUGAAGGCCCUAGGGUUGUAAAGCUCUUUUACCCGGGAAGAUAAUGACUGUACCGGGAGAAUAAGCCCCGGCUAACUCCGUGCCAGCCGCCGCGGUAA
This 449-nucleotide ribosomal RNA is filed under the name uncultured bacterium. RNAcentral's name for it is "partial 16S ribosomal RNA". It matches the Rfam family "Bacterial small subunit ribosomal RNA", at positions 29 to 523 of the family's 1533-position model. The record is from RNAcentral.